RNAcentral lists this long non-coding RNA (2494 nucleotides) under Heterocephalus glaber (naked mole-rat). RNAcentral describes it as "lncRNA (ENSHGLG00000046023.1)". Lineage: Eukaryota; Metazoa; Chordata; Mammalia; Rodentia; Bathyergidae. The record is from RNAcentral.
CUUUAUUAGUCUGGCCAGACAGCACUCCCAAAGCAAAGUAGCUUAGAGAGGCAACUGGCUCAGAGUCCAAGGCUGUUUUUAUAGGGGGUCGCAGGGGAAGUUGGCAAGCAGAAAUACAAAAGUGGAGGAGAGAGAUAAAACAGACCUUUUACAGAUUGUCCUUAAGAUAACAUAUUCAGAUAUGGACUUGGGCAAGUAUGAUGGAACACUACGCACACAACAGACCUUCCUGGCACAACAACAAGCACGUCCCUGGAACUCAAUGUCUAGCUGGUGAUCCAUAACAGAAGCAGACAAGUUGGGGCCCUAUUACAAAAUGGAGUAACUGUUGUUCAGUCUUACAUUCUCCACUGAUUUUUCCCUUAGCUGUGUAAUCUUAUACAGCAUUAUCUUGGUAUUCUUGCCUCCAUCUUUGUUCUUUCUCAUCUAGCUCACUUAAAGGAUGAUAUUUGGCCUGUUGACUCAAAAUCAUUAGGCGAACAGAUCCUAUUGGGGCCCUUACAUAGGCUAUAAGCUUAUUAAUAAUGCAUGGGCCAAAAGUCAAAGCUAGUAACAAGAUUAACAGGGGUCCAGCAAGGGCAGAAACAAGGGUAGUCAUCCAGGGAGACCAGUUAAACAUUGACUGGAACCAUCCCUCCUGUUUUAUCAAUCUAUUAUAAUUUUCUUGUAGAUGUUUAUUUACAGUGGCCAGAGUUUCUCUUAUUAUUCCAAAUUUGUUAGCAUAAUAGCAACAUUGCUCUCCCAGGGCUACACAUAGCCCUCCCUCUUUCAUAAACCUGAGGUCAAGUCCUCGGCAGUUUUGAAGGACCAUCUCAGCCAGAGAAUCAACUUGUUUUUCCAAAUGAGACACUGACUCGGUAAGUAGCCCUAAGUCUAUUUUUAUCUGUUGGGGAAGGGUCUUGAAAUUAGAGUCUUUCAGUCCUAUCCUGGUCACACCCAGAGCCUCUGAUCCCGCAAUGCCUGCUGCAGUUAACACAGGAAUCAGUGCUGGGUGGCACUUCUCUCGGGUGUGUGCUCUCUUAGCUAGGUAUUCCCAACCCUGGUCUUCUCCAUAUAUAGUGACUUGGGGUAAAAUGUGGACCAUUACACAUACCUCAAGUUCCUGAUUGAGGACUGUCAUGGAUAAACAGGGAGUUAUACCAUUUGUACAUGCCCACCAUGCAUUGUUUCUAGCUUUUAAAUAUUUUUCAUUACUGAUGGUGGGUGUCUGAUAAGAACAUAUACUGUCCAGAUAAGAUGAUGUAACACUUGGAUUUUUAACACAUAACCCUUUUCCUUUUAUAUCCCCAAUUGACAACCUCGGUUGUUUUCAAUCAUACUCAUUUUGGUCAGCUUCUGAGAAGGUGCCAUUGACUGUUAACCCUACAUAAUAUGGGGACGUGGAUUCAAACACAGCCAACACCCUUGAGUAAGGUUGGAGCUAGACUCAUUUAACAGGGUGUACGUGGCAUCCAGAGUUUUUAGGUAUGGUUGGAUUGGAGACUCAGGAGCAACUAAUGACACAUUAUAGGUUCCUUUUGCCUUUUCUUUUUCUUGGGGGCUGGAGACCCCAUAAAUGUUGCCUACCAGUUUAGGCGGUACUAUUACCGGGCUACGCUGGAUGAGGAGGUCAGUCAUAGGGUCCUUUCUACCCACAUAGAGUGCCAUCAUCCAGGAUUUUCCUUUUUCCCAAUCUUUAUAUGGAUUUUGCCAUUGUUUUAAGGUUAGCUUGAUGGGAUUACAUUUUCCUUUGGAACAUGAACCACUUGGUGUUUGUCAUUCCAAGGCCAAAUACGCAUCGCAUCAUCAUUUUUCCAUGGGGCAAUAGAUUUGCAACCCCAAUGAUGACAGUGGUUUCCUGGUGUCCCAUUGCACCUUUUAUUUUUCCCUAUGGGGCAGGCAUAAAUAUCUAUAUCUUGGAGGUUUUUUUCCAAUUUAUCAUCUAUUCCACACCUCCAUCCACAGCCCCCUUUACCCAUCUUUUCAGAUGAAACUUUACCCUUUGAUCCAGCCCCUCCACCACUAAUGAUUGGAAGCCCUAGAGAACACAGGUCUAUAAUAAAAUGGGGCUGUCUAUCAGUAGUAAUGGUGGCAAUGUGAGCUCCCGUUAAGGCAUUUUUCAAGGACCAAGUCCAGUUCUGGGGAGUGUGGCUGGACAACACCAGCUGGCAUCCAGAUCCCCCUUCCAUUGGGCCUGGUAAGAACAGUAGCCCCAAGAACCCCCAUGUUGUCCAAACUAGUCUUUGAUCAAUCUUAUCUUGAGGGGGUCCUUUGUGUUCCGAUCGAUCCGCCAUGUUGACGUCUCUUCCUCCAGGGGUGCUGCCUUUAAAUGGCUGUGGUGGAUCCAGGCAGAGUGUCCAGCUACCUUCACUGCUGAGGGAGUCACCAGGAUGACAGGAAAUGGUCCCUCCCAGAGGGGUUCAAGGGUCUUGGAGUCAAACCUGUGAAUGAAAACCAAAUCCCCCGGCUUAUAGGAGGGAGAAAACUGGGACAGAGGAACAUUCAUACAGGAGGA